GACCCAAAAGAUGGUGAACUAUGCCUGGGCAGGGCAAAGCCAGAACAAACUCUGGUGGAGGUCUGUAGCAGUUCUGACGUGCAAAUUGGUCAUCCGACCUGGGUAUGGGGCAAAAGACUAAUUGAACUAUCUAGUAGCUGG
Pelodiscus sinensis (Chinese soft-shelled turtle) is the source of this 141-nucleotide ribosomal RNA. It matches the Rfam family "Eukaryotic large subunit ribosomal RNA", at positions 813 to 954 of the family's 3401-position model. The record is from Rfam. NCBI's taxonomy places the organism in Eukaryota, Metazoa, Chordata, Testudines, Trionychidae.